This is a long non-coding RNA of Gasterosteus aculeatus aculeatus (three-spined stickleback), 444 nucleotides long. The record is from Ensembl. NCBI's taxonomy places the organism in Eukaryota, Metazoa, Chordata, Actinopteri, Perciformes, Gasterosteidae.
GGCAGAUCCAGCCACACUAAGGAUGAGAGAAAGAGUCAAAUCUUUACCUCUCUGGUGUCCCUGUGGGUGGCCAGCUGUGGACCUCCUGAAGGCACGGUCAGUACAGACUGGGGGAAGCUGGAAUGUUACAAGCAGAAACCUGCAGGCUUCGCACUCGCUGCUGUUUGAAUGCAAACACACGGCUGUUUGCACGGCUGCACCCAACGCUCAUUUCAUGAUCACUCCAUCGCGUCUCGAUGAAUUCAAGAUAAUAUUGCGGACCUCCGAUGGAUGUUAAGCUGCUACGAUUGAAGCCGGAUGGAAUCUGAGCCUUGCAUGGAGAGAGUUUGGAGGAUCCAACAGCAACAAUCAAAGCGGGUUCAAUCCUAAAUACCAUCCAUGAACAAACACUGCGUAUUCUAGUCAUAGUGGUCUCUAACUGUAUAGAGAAGCCUUAACAGGGAA